RNAcentral lists this ribosomal RNA (253 nucleotides) under Lachnospira eligens. RNAcentral describes it as "partial 16S ribosomal RNA". It matches the Rfam family "Bacterial small subunit ribosomal RNA", at positions 524 to 776 of the family's 1533-position model. Lineage: Bacteria; Bacillati; Bacillota; Clostridia; Lachnospirales; Lachnospiraceae. The record is from RNAcentral.
UACGUAUGGAGCAAGCGUUAUCCGGAUUUACUGGGUGUAAAGGGAGUGUAGGUGGCCAUGCAAGUCAGAAGUGAAAAUCCGGGGCUCAACCCCGGAACUGCUUUUGAAACUAUAAGGCUGGAGUGCAGGAGGGGUGAGUGGAAUUCCUAGUGUAGCGGUGAAAUGCGUAGAUAUUAGGAGGAACACCAGUGGCGAAGGCGGCUCACUGGACUGUAACUGACACUGAGGCUCGAAAGCGUGGGGAGCAAACAGG